This 570-nucleotide ribosomal RNA is filed under the name Filobasidium uniguttulatum. Its description in RNAcentral is "eukaryotic LSU rRNA". It matches the Rfam family "Eukaryotic large subunit ribosomal RNA", at positions 100 to 658 of the family's 3401-position model. Lineage: Eukaryota; Fungi; Basidiomycota; Tremellomycetes; Filobasidiales; Filobasidiaceae. The record is from RNAcentral.
GGGAAGAGCUCAAAUUUGAAAUCUGGUGGCCUCAGGUCAUCCGAGUUGUAAUCUAUAGAAGUGUUUUCCGUGCUGGCCCAUGUACAAGUCCCUUGGAACAGGGCGUCAUAGAGGGUGAGAAUCCCGUCCUUGACAUGGACUACCAGUGCUCUGUGAUACACUUUCAACGAGUCGAGUUGUUUGGGAAUGCAGCUCAAAAUGGGUGGUAAAUUCCAUCUAAAGCUAAAUAUUGGCGAGAGACCGAUAGCGAACAAGUACCGUGAGGGAAAGAUGAAAAGCACUUUGGAAAGAGAGUUAAACAGUAUGUGAAAUUGUUGAAAGGGAAACGAUUGAAGUCAGUCGUGCUCAAUGGACUCAGCCGUUCUGCGGUGUAUUUCCAUUGGGUGGGGUCAACAUCAGUUUUGAUCGCUGGAUAAAGGCAGGAGGAAUGUAGCACCCCCGGGUGAACUUAUAGCCUCUUGUCACAUACAGUGGUUGGGACUGAGGAACGCAGCAUGCCUUUAUGGCCGGGAUUCGUCCACGUACAUGCUUAGGAUGUUGACAUAAUGGCUUUAAACGACCCGUCUUGAA